RNAcentral lists this unclassified non-coding RNA (345 nucleotides) under soil metagenome. RNAcentral's name for it is "partial contains 5.8S ribosomal RNA, internal transcribed spacer 2, and large subunit ribosomal RNA". The stretch from base 1 to 120 matches the Rfam family "5.8S ribosomal RNA", at positions 35 to 154 of the family's 154-position model. The record is from RNAcentral.
GAUGAAGAACGCAGCGAAAUGCGAUAAGUAAUGUGAAUUGCAGAAUUCAGUGAAUCAUCGAAUCUUUGAACGCACAUUGCGCCCUCUGGUAUUCCGGGGGGCAUGCCUGUCCGAGCGUCAUUGCUGCCCUCAAGCACGGCUUGUGUGUUGGGCCUCCGUCCUCCUCCCGGGGGACGGGCCCGAAAGGCAGCGGCGGCACCGCGUCCGGUCCUCGAGCGUAUGGGGCUUCGUCACCCGCUCUUGUAGGCCCUGCCGGCGCUUGCCGACACAUCAAUCUUUUUUCCAGGUUGACCUCGGAUCAGGUAGGGAUACCCGCUGAACUUAAGCAUAUCAAUAAGCGGAGGA